UGCGGAGGGUGCAAGCGUUAUCCGGAUUCACUGGGUUUAAAGGGUGCGUAGGUGGGUUUGUAAGUCAGUGGUGAAAUCUCCAAGCUUAACUUGGAAACUGCCGUUGAUACUAUAAAUCUUGAAUGUUGUGGAGGUGAGCGGAAUAUGUCAUGUAGCGGUGAAAUGCUUAGAUAUGACAUAGAACACCAAUUGCGAAGGCAGCUCACUACACAAAGAUUGACACUGAGGCACGAAAGCGUGGGGAUCAAACAGG
Molecule: ribosomal RNA, 253 nt
Filed under: uncultured bacterium
Lineage: Bacteria
Description: partial 16S ribosomal RNA
Rfam family: Bacterial small subunit ribosomal RNA
Source: RNAcentral